Long non-coding RNA from Bos taurus (domestic cattle), 2139 nucleotides. The record is from Ensembl. Lineage: Eukaryota; Metazoa; Chordata; Mammalia; Artiodactyla; Bovidae.
CCAGAUCCUCGUCACCCUUCCUGCCGUGUUGGAACCGUUGCGGAAUUUUUGAGCGGUCCCCGGCACCUGGCUUGUCCCUUUCGUGUCCCAUGUUAGAAAUCAUGUUCUUCUCCUUCCCUGUGUAAGGAAAUGAUACGUAUCCCACCCAAUCAGCAAAUGACUCACAAGCUUCCUACUCCAUUCCUUUGUUCCCUGGCUACCAAAACAGGCAGGUGACCCAUAUUUGUCAUGGGCUUCCAGGUGGCGCUACUGAUGAAGAACCCAUGUGCCAAAUGCAAGAAACGUGAAAUGUGGGUUCGAUCCCUGGGUCUGGAAGAUCCUCUGGAGGAAGGCAUGACAACCCACUCCAGUAUCCUUGCCUGGGAAAUCUCAUGGAUGGAGGAGUUCAUGGGAUCACAAAGGGUCAGACACAACCGAAGUGACUUAGCACACAUACUCCCUCACCACUGGAAAAGCUGGCCUGCUCACAGUGUCUCCUGGUCUAAUAAACUCUGUUCUCCUUUCAUUCUGUCUUGUGUCUGGAAGUUCUUUUCUGACCUGUGCACAGAACAUAAAAACCUGAUGUGUGCUCUUAAUAAUUUGCAGUGGGGAGCCGGCCAUCUGUGUGAUGGGAGAGGCCCCAUGUCCUCAGUGGAGAGGUCUAAUGAUGGGGAGGCCGGCUGAGCUGCAGGAGAGGAUGGGCUGGGCAGAGAGAGCAGAGCAGCCUGCCCUGUUACCACAGCGGGGCCCGCCUUGCUGCCAAGUGUGUGCCAUGGCAGGCACGUGGGGUCUCAGCUCCCCGACCAGAGAUUCAGCUCACACUUCGUGUGCUGGAAGGUGGUCUCAACCACUGGACUGUCAGGAAGUCCCCAGGUUUUCAAAAGAAGCCAGACUGCUGGAUUUUGGUGUGAAGCUAUGCCAUUUUUGAAACACAAUGUACAUUUUGAAUAGAUUCUGUUCCGGGUUUUUGAACACCUGAAAAUAAAACUAUUCUUUGAGUCAAAAACGAUGGUACAGUUUUGAGAUUUGCCCGAGCUGCCACCAGGGGGUAGGGAAGAGACGUCGCAGAGUAUCACAAGUGGUGGAAGAAGAGCAGACGUUACAGGACUGUCUUUUCUGAAUCUGGCCCAUUUAAUGCACCAGCUCAUCUCUGUUCCAUCUAGCCACAUUUCAAAUGCUCAAUAUUCACCUGUGGUCGGUGGGCUCAGCUCUAAACACCUAGUAUCUGUUAUGGAUUGAAACAUGUUUCCUCAAAAAUUCAGAUGUUGAAGACCUAAACCCCAGUACCUCAAAAAGUGACCUGAUUUGGAGCUGAAGUCUUUACAGAAGUAAUCAAGUUAAAAUGAAGCCUUUAGGAUGCAUCUGAGCAAAGGUCCAUCUAGUCAAGGCUAUGGUUUUUCCAGUGGUCAUGUAUGUAUGUGAGUUGUACUGUAAAGAAAGCUGAGUGCCGAAGAACUGAUGCUUUUGAACUGUGGUGUUGGAGAAGACUCUUGAGAGUCUCUUGGACUGCAAGGAGAUCCUACCAGUCCAUCCUAAAGGAGAUCAGUCCUGAGUGUUCAUUGGAAGGACUGAUGUUGAAACUGAAACUCCAAUACUUUGGCCACCUGAUGCGAAGAGCUGAUUCAUUGGAAAAGACCCUGAUGCUGGGAAAGAUUGAAGGUAGAAGGAGAAGGGAAUGACAGAGGGUGAGAUGGUUGGAUGGCAUCACCGACUCAAUGGACAUGAGUUUGGGUAAACUCUGGGAGUUGGUGAUGGACAGGGAGGCCUGGUGUGCUGUGGUUCAUGGGGUUGCAAAGAGUCAGACACAACUGAACGACUGAGCUGAACUGAUCUGAACUGAACCUCCUCAAUGGCUGCUUGGUAAAGAACCUGCCUGCAGUGCAGGAGACACAGGAGACACAGGUUUGAUCCCUGAGUCGAGGAGAUCCCCUGGAGGAGGAAAUGGCAACCCAGUGCAGUCUUCUUGACUGGAGAAUCCUAGGGACAGAGAAGCCUGGUGGGCUACAGUCUCUGGGGUCGUAAAGAUUGGCUACGACCAGGCACACAAGCACACAGCAGUGCAGAAUGCAUCCUAAUCCAGCAUGACUGAUGUGCUUACGCAACGAGGACCUCUGGAGGAGACAGACUCACAUGCAGGGAGAGCGCCAUGUAAAGAUGAAG